This 476-nucleotide ribosomal RNA is filed under the name Streptococcus sanguinis. Its description in RNAcentral is "bacterial SSU rRNA". It matches the Rfam family "Bacterial small subunit ribosomal RNA", at positions 28 to 488 of the family's 1533-position model. Lineage: Bacteria; Bacillati; Bacillota; Bacilli; Lactobacillales; Streptococcaceae. The record is from RNAcentral.
GACGAACGCUGGCGGCGUGCCUAAUACAUGCAAGUAGAACGCUGAAGAGAGGAGCUUGCUCUUCUUGGAUGAGUUGCGAACGGGUGAGUAACGCGUAGGUAACCUGCCUGGUAGCGGGGGAUAACUAUUGGAAACGAUAGCUAAUACCGCAUAAAAUUGAUUAUUGCAUGAUAAUUAAUUGAAAGAUGCAAUUGCAUCACUACCAGAUGGACCUGCGUUGUAUUAGCUAGUUGGUGAGGUAACGGCUCACCAAGGCGACGAUACAUAGCCGACCUGAGAGGGUGAUCGGCCACACUGGGACUGAGACACGGCCCAGACUCCUACGGGAGGCAGCAGUAGGGAAUCUUCGGCAAUGGGGGGAACCCUGACCGAGCAACGCCGCGUGAGUGAAGAAGGUUUUCGGAUCGUAAAGCUCUGUUGUAAGAGAAGAACGGGUGUGAGAGUGGAAAGUUCACACUGUGACGUAUCUACCAGAA